Molecule: long non-coding RNA, 1978 nt
Organism: Gadus macrocephalus (Pacific cod)
Lineage: Eukaryota; Metazoa; Chordata; Actinopteri; Gadiformes; Gadidae
Exons: 3
Source: RefSeq, a predicted model, not a curated record
AAUGCGGGGUACUUCCUUCAUGAGCACUGCACAUACACUCUCCCCAUCUCCUCCUGUCGUCUGUUCUUGCCCCUCUAUUGUACAUGUUUUUCCGCUGGAGGUUAAUGUGGAUUUGCUGAUGGAAGUGGUAGUUUGUGUUGAGUGGUUUAUCUAUGGGAUCGACUGACUAACUAACGCUGCGGACAGCUACAGCACCGACCACGACACUGGGAAGUGUCCUCUGCUCACUGUGGAAGCAGCAUGGAAGAACUGCAGCAACUCUGAUGGAAACGAGGACCCCUACGCUGUUGAACACAAACUGUUCUAGGCCUACUACAAACCGAGGCGGUCCUACUCGGUUAAAGAUCUCGUGGUCAAUGCGGCAGACCGCUGGACCUGGCUGGACGUCACCUUCUGCAGAUACUUCACUGCCCUCAGGAAUCCACGGAUAACUUGAAACAUGUCCGACUCCACAUGUCCGGAAAAUCCAGGAUGGAAGGAAGAAAGAGUUCUGUUUUUGCUCAACCCAUAACCCCACUGAGCCCUUCUGCUGAUACCUGUCUGACUGACCAUACUGACCGGGGGCCUGUUGUGUGUUUGGUUGGUGGUGUGGUAGAAGGUUUGCUGCUUGUGAUCUGCAAGGUGGUCCUGGGUUAGAUGCGGUGUCUGACUUGCACACCACUCUCCCAAUUCUAUUCUUCUCUUUACUACUUUUCUACUUUCAAUACACUUGCUGCUGCUGCUGUUGACCGCCGGUCGUGCAAUGUGUUUUUUAUUCGCCUAUGUUCUGUGGAUGAUCAUUACUGCCUGUUGGACGUUUUGCGUUUUUCACCAAUAGCUUCGGAACUAGACGGACCUCGUAUAUAAUUUGCUCUUCUAAGAUGCGGUCAGGCGCCCCUCCGUUAUAUAACGUUUUCUGCCCGGUACGAAAUAGACUGACCAAUCACAACCCUUUAUCUAAUGUGAGGUUGGAUAUAGGCAACAUGUAGAGGUGUUUCAACAACAAAGAUGUAAGUUAGUGAACUAAAGACUGCAUAUGUUCACUAAAAGAACGAACGACUACUCAAAGAUUUUGAGGAAUAUGUAUUUCUCCAUCACCCGUUCCAAUGCUAUGAUUAGUCGAGGCCUAUCCAAUGGCAUAGCCGUCGACCCAUUUUAGAUCGCGCCCUUUAGACACGCCCCUUGGAAAUUGAACAACGCAUUUCAACGCAGAGGAUCCAGAAGGAUUUCACAACGAGUCCAUUGGAAGAUAUCGAGGAACAUGAACAUCACCAAUGAAGGAGAGUAACGUUUCCACUUGCUAUAGGAAUUUAGUGAAGCACUAAAUGGUUAAUAAUAAUAAAAUGUGGUCACCAUUUAUUGACUCGUUGGGUGAGACUUGCUUUACUAAUAUAACCGCGUUAAAACUAUUAAUUUACUUUUCUUGUGUAGUUUCCCACUAUUCAUUAAAUGUUUUAUUGAAGUACAAAUGUGUAUAGUUCUAUUAAUUACAUUUUUAUAACAAUUAAUCAUUAUACAGGAUUUGAACAUUUUCUACCCAGGCUCAUGCUGCAUAAUGAGUCCCAAAUGAUUUAUGAACAGUGGUUUGUUUUUGUUCAGGAGCGGAUUGUACUCCCAGAGGCUUCAACAGAGCGGGUCUGGAGCUGGGAGCUGCAGGUGGAUGGUGGCCAGGAGCCGUUCAGUCCUACAGGAACAGACGGUAGAGGUGAUGGAGGCGCUCGCCGUGAGGACCGUGGCGGUCGUCUGGAGGUGCUCGUCUGGAGGUCCGUGGCGGUCGUCUGGAGUUGCUCGCCGUGAGGUCCAUGGCGGUCGUCUGGAGGCGCUCGCUGCAGGUGGAGGGAAGGCCGGGAGCCGUGCAGCCCAACGGAUGCAGAACGAAGGACUGAGGCGGAGGUCCUGGAGGCAGAGGCCAGCCUGGAGGCGGCGGUGGCCUGGAGGUCCUGGAGGCGUCCAACCUGGAAGGGGCGGCAUGGAGGGCCAGGUGGCGGCUCCUCAUCCA